UGGGGAAUAUUGGACAAUGGGCGCAAGCCUGAUCCAGCAAUGCCGCGUGGGUGAAGACGGCCUUCGGGUUGUAAAGCCCUUUCAGCAGGGAAGAAAAGCCCGCCCCUAAUACGGACGGGUGCUGACGGUACCUGCAGAAGAAGCACCGGCUAACUCCGUGCCAGCAGCCGCGGUAAUACGGAGGGUGCAAGCGUUAAUCGGAAUUACUGGGCGUAAAGGGCGCGUAGGCGGCCGUCUAAGUCGGGUGUGAAAGCCCCGGGCUCAACCUGGGAAUUGCAUCCGAUACUGGUCGGCUCGAGUGUGGUAGAGGGAAGCGGAAUUCCGGGUGUAGCGGUGAAAUGCGUAGAUAUCCGGAGGAACAUCAGUGGCGAAGGCGGCUUCCUGGACCAACACUGACGCUGAGGCGCGAAAGCGUGGGGAGCAAACAGGAUUAGAUACCCCUGUAGUCC
This 449-nucleotide ribosomal RNA is filed under the name uncultured prokaryote. RNAcentral's name for it is "bacterial SSU rRNA". It matches the Rfam family "Bacterial small subunit ribosomal RNA", at positions 355 to 796 of the family's 1533-position model. The record is from RNAcentral.